UUCUGCAAGGGAUUGGAGUGGCAUCCUUUUCAUCGAAAAGAUAUAGCGUAAAGCCCGUCCAAGG
Molecule: small RNA, 64 nt
Filed under: Mucilaginibacter sp. NFR10
Lineage: Bacteria; Pseudomonadati; Bacteroidota; Sphingobacteriia; Sphingobacteriales; Sphingobacteriaceae
Description: Flavo-1 RNA
Rfam family: Flavo-1 RNA
Source: RNAcentral